AACACUCACACUCACACUCACGGAGAUUCCCAUCUUCUAUUUGGGUGCCCCUGUUGGAAAAGGAUGCAAAUGACAUUUGCACCAUUGAGCGGAUCAGCGGAAUGAAGUCUAUCAACCUGAUUUAUGUGGCUCGUGGGCAACCAUGGCGAGUCUUUAGAGCAAUUUCCUAACAUUGUCUGAAUCUUGUUUUAUUUAAAAGUUUAUAUAUUCGAUUUGUUGGUAAUAAAUCUCUCAAUGAUGUAUGCAGAGAUGCUCUUGAUGCAUUGGGCUUGGUCCGCUAUUGUUGCAGGCGUAUGCUCAUGACCCACGUCGACCUGAUCGAGAAGCUCCUCAAUUACAACACUCUGGAGAAAAGUGAGGCCUCUUAGAUGAAAUGGUGGUGCUUAUCGAUGUGAUCCUUAGAUCAUAUGACUUUGGUGGCCCACUGUAUAUGCGAAUGCUAGAAGUGACAUUUUGACUGGUGAAGACAGGGAGCCUUUUGCAUCUGACCCUUGAUUUGAGUAUCAAUGCAAAGGAAAUUAGAAUGUC
This is a long non-coding RNA of Magnolia sinica, 528 nucleotides long. RefSeq lists it as uncharacterized. The transcript is spliced from 2 exons. The record is from RefSeq and is a predicted model, not a curated record. NCBI's taxonomy places the organism in Eukaryota, Viridiplantae, Streptophyta, Magnoliopsida, Magnoliales, Magnoliaceae.